UACGUAGGGUGCGAGCGUUAAUCGGAAUUACUGGGCGUAAAGCGUGCGCAGGCGGUGAUGUAAGACAGUUGUGAAAUCCCCGGGCUCAACCUGGGAAUUGCAUCUGUGACUGCAUCGCUAGAGUACGGUAGAGGGGGAUGGAAUUCCGCGUGUAGCAGUGAAGUGCGUAGAUAUGCGGAGGAACACCGAUGGCGAAGGCAAUCCCCUGGACCUGUACUGACGCUCAUGCACGAAAGCGUGGGGAGCAAACAGG
This 253-nucleotide ribosomal RNA is filed under the name uncultured bacterium. Its description in RNAcentral is "partial 16S ribosomal RNA". It matches the Rfam family "Bacterial small subunit ribosomal RNA", at positions 524 to 776 of the family's 1533-position model. The record is from RNAcentral.